Molecule: long non-coding RNA, 477 nt
Organism: Cyprinus carpio carpio
Lineage: Eukaryota; Metazoa; Chordata; Actinopteri; Cypriniformes; Cyprinidae
Source: Ensembl
UUGCAGUUUUACAUAAUACACCAACACUUUUACCUGUUCCCAUGCAAGUGGUGGCAGAAGCAUAUGCAGACAGUGAAGAACCCUCUCAGAAGACUGUCCUUUGGAGGAAGAACCUGUAAGUGCAUAAAUACCUUUACACUAAUUUGUAUAUAGCCUACUUGUGUACCUAUUCUUUCUGUCUGCAAUUUGAGUUGCAGGAGUCCACACCUAGAGAAAGGCCUACAGAAAGGCUUGCAGAAGAGUCUGCACAAAGAACUAAUACAGAGGGUGACAUCCGUUCCCUCUAUAAACGGCAUCUUCAACAAAAAAUUGAGUAUUUUGAGCUGAAAAAACGCAAAUUAAGAGGAGAAAUUGAACUUGACAACUUGAAAAAGAGAAAAAUUGCUCUAGAGAUAGAGUUGCUUCAAAAGGACCUUCAGAGCAAAAGAUGACUUGCUGGCUUUUCUUUAUAAAGAAUUGUUUAAAUAAAACUCUGGG